RNAcentral lists this unclassified non-coding RNA (245 nucleotides) under fungal sp. RNAcentral describes it as "partial internal transcribed spacer region". The stretch from base 1 to 46 matches the Rfam family "Eukaryotic small subunit ribosomal RNA", at positions 1786 to 1831 of the family's 1831-position model. Lineage: Eukaryota; Fungi. The record is from RNAcentral.
AAGUCGUAACAAGGUUUCCGUAGGUGAACCUGCGGAAGGAUCAUUAACAAAAUAUGAAUAAUUAAUUCAUAGACCCAAUCUGCGUAUUUGUCUUUGUUGCUUCCGCAAGUAUGGCAACAGUCCUUGCCAUUUCUUUCUAGUGGGAAACCUUGCGGGAGGUUAUCAUAACUUCUGUUUUUCUUGUAUUGUCUGAAUCUUUGCUUUAGCAAGUAUUAAAACUUUCAACAACGGAUCUCUUGGUUCUC